AUGCUGCUGCUGCCGCCGCUGCCGAAGCUGAUGCUGCUGCUGAAGCUGCUGCCGCUGCCGCUCCCGCUGCCGCUGCUCCCGCUGCUCCCGCCGCCGCCCGCCGCCUGCAUGCGCUCCAGCCGCGCCGGCAUCCUCGGGGCGCCCUCCCGCCGGGGGUCCCGCGGCGGCGGCUCGGCGCACCUGUUCUUAGCCGGCCCGCAGCCAACCCUCGGCCGGCGCUCCCCGGGAGAGACCAAUCCGAGCGCAGCGCGGAGGGCGAGCGGCCGGGCUCGCCUCCUCUGCCGCCGCCGCCGCCGCCGGGGACCCCAAGUCCGCGAGCCCGGGAGCCGGAGAUUUCCUGGUCUACGGUGGAAGCUGGAAAGAUGUUUUUAUUUACAAGGCUCUGAGAAUGAGAAGCUGAGGAUGCCCGCCUCCUGGGACACCUCCCCAGCACCGCAAGACUGGCGCCCAUGCAGGAGCCAGCGUCCCCUUGUACCCUCAGAGCCUCCACGGGGACGAAGUUUUCAAGACUACAGCAAGAUUUCAUCUGGCAAUUCACAUGCUUCUCACCACUCCCCGAUCAGGUUCAGCGUAAGGUAAGCUGCAAGUAGAGAAGACAUGCGAUGCAGAAAGCCCACUCCCUGAAAUGCUUCCUUACCAUGGAAAAAAAACACCUGUGUCUCAAACUUCAUUAUCUGUCAGAAACCUAAUAAUAGCUAAUACACCUACAUCCGAGAAAAGUUGCUGUGAGUUCAUGUUUAUAUAAAUAACCCUUUGGCUUCAUCUUACCCAUGUUUUCUAAAAAUCUACAUACAUUCUGCUUCCUU
Canis lupus familiaris (dog) is the source of this 806-nucleotide long non-coding RNA. RefSeq lists it as uncharacterized. The record is from RefSeq and is a predicted model, not a curated record. NCBI's taxonomy places the organism in Eukaryota, Metazoa, Chordata, Mammalia, Carnivora, Canidae. The transcript has 4 exons.